RNAcentral lists this ribosomal RNA (484 nucleotides) under uncultured bacterium. Its description in RNAcentral is "partial 16S ribosomal RNA". It matches the Rfam family "Bacterial small subunit ribosomal RNA", at positions 30 to 507 of the family's 1533-position model. The record is from RNAcentral.
AUUGAACGCUGGCGGCAGGCCUAACACAUGCAAGUCGAGCGGAUGAAGGGAGCUUGCUCCUGGAUUCAGCGGCGGACGGGUGAGUAAUGCCUAGGAAUCUGCCUGGUAGUGGGGGAUAACGUCCGGAAACGGGCGCUAAUACCGCAUACGUCCUGAGGGAGAAAGUGGGGGAUCUUCGGACCUCAUGCUAUCAGAUGAGCCUAGGUCGGAUUAGCUAGUUGGUGGGGUAAAGGCCUACCAAGGCGACGAUCCGUAACUGGUCUGAGAGGAUGAUCAGUCACACUGGAACUGAGACACGGUCCAGACUCCUACGGGAGGCAGCAGUGGGGAAUAUUGGACAAUGGGCGAAAGCCUGAUCCAGCCAUGCCGCGUGUGUGAAGAAGGUCUUCGGAUUGUAAAGCACUUUAAGUCGGGAGGAAGGGCAGUAAGUUAAUACCUUGCUGUUUUGACGUUACCAACAGAAUAAGCACCGGCUAACUUCGUG